Long non-coding RNA from Eutrema salsugineum, 1107 nucleotides. RefSeq lists it as uncharacterized. Lineage: Eukaryota; Viridiplantae; Streptophyta; Magnoliopsida; Brassicales; Brassicaceae. The record is from RefSeq and is a predicted model, not a curated record. The transcript has 3 exons.
UAGAGAGAAACACAGAGUGAAUUUUCAGUGAGACAUCACUUAGAAAUUCCCUGCACUUCUAUACUCUCCAAAGUUUUCAUCCUUGUAUUUUCAUCUUUGUAUUUCCACUCUUUGUAUUUUACUUCUUGUAUUCAAAUCCAGUUUAAUAAACUUUCUACCAGCACUUGUCAAGAGAGUCGUCGACGUAUGUGUUCCAGGCAGUAAGUCCUAAAGGCAGUGAAAUCAUUGAGAUAAUGAAAUUUCACCUACCAAAAACAAAUUCUACAAAGUACAACAAGAACGCCAAACGUAAGAGAAAUACCAAAUUUAUUACUUGUAUGGAGUGCAACAAGAUAUACGAGACGUCCAGAACCCUGCUCCAUACAGAACUUUCUCAUCAAUUUGUCUAGAAUGCCAAAUAUAAUGAAUGGAGGCUUCAGUUAAAGGAAAUAGGGAAUUCAACUAUUCUUCAACAGUAUUCAAUUUUUGAUGGGAAUAUAUUUUAUUUGAGUUAUCUUUUGAAUAUUAUUAGAGAUCCUUGCAAUUAUGAAGAUAUCUGAACCUUUAAUGGUAUAUAUGACACUUUCAAAGAAGCUUGCUAUGCAAGAGGUUAGUCCCGUUCUAUUACUUUUAAGAGCAUCAUUAUCGCUAGAUUAUAUAAUAGGGUUUUUAGUGAUUUAUUUAAUAUUAAAUUUAGGAAAGAUAAAAAGAAGAGAGAAAAAAGAGAGAAAUUGCUGGAGAAAAAAAGAAGAAAGAGAAAGGAAGAGAAAAUUUUCUGACCAAUGAAAAACUGACACAAGAAUGGUUUCUUAAAGAUCCCAAAUAAGAAACUCUCUUUAACAGAUUUGGGCUUCUCUUAAUUUUUAAUUGUUUUUGGGCUAAGAAAUCUACACAAGGACCUGUGAUAAUGAUGGUCUAAAUGUCAAUCUUAAUUUUAAUUUGAGAACUGCAUGAAAAAUCUUUAUUUCAAUAAGUUGUUUCUUUUUUGUUGUUUUUAUUCGUCUUCUAUGUUUACAGAACUUAUUAAGUGGUAAUUUAUGAAAUACGCAGUUAAAUUAUUUUCAAAAUCAUAAAUACUACAUCUGCAGCAGUUAGAUAUUAGAUAAUCAAUACGAGAGCCAAAAAAUC